This 71-nucleotide transfer RNA is filed under the name Paratrypauchen microcephalus (comb goby). RNAcentral describes it as "tRNA-Ser". It matches the Rfam family "tRNA". Rfam says of the family: Transfer RNA (tRNA) molecules are approximately 80 nucleotides in length. Their secondary structure includes four short double-helical elements and three loops (D, anti-codon, and T loops). The record is from RNAcentral. Lineage: Eukaryota; Metazoa; Chordata; Actinopteri; Gobiiformes; Gobiidae. RNAcentral also lists the same sequence under 2 other names.
AAGAAAGUGUCAGAAGGGUUAUGUAGCUGGCUUGAAACUAGCUUAUGGGGGUUCGAGUCCUCCCUUUCUCG